Molecule: ribosomal RNA, 253 nt
Filed under: uncultured bacterium
Lineage: Bacteria
Description: partial 16S ribosomal RNA
Rfam family: Bacterial small subunit ribosomal RNA
Source: RNAcentral
UACAGAGGUCUCAAGCGUUGUUCGGAUUCAUUGGGCGUAAAGGGUGCGUAGGCGGCGCGGUAAGUCGGGUGUGAAAUCUCGGAGCUUAACUGCAGAACUGCCAUGGAUACUAUUUAUCUUGAAUGUCGUGGAGGUUAGCAGAAUAUGUCAUGUAGCGGUGAAAUGCUUAGAUAUGACAUAGAAUACCCAUUGCGAAGGCAGCUAACUACGCGAUAAUUGACGCUGAUGCACGAAAGCGUGGGGAUCAAACAGG